AUUGAACGCUGGCGGCAUGCCUUACACAUGCAAGUCGAACGGCAGCACGGGAGCAAUCCUGGUGGCGAGUGGCGAACGGGUGAGUAAAGUAUCGGAACGUGCCCAGUCGUGGGGGAUAACGUAGCGAAAGUUACGCUAAUACCGCAUACGAUCUAUGGAUGAAAGCGGGGGAUCGCAAGACCUCGCGCGAUUGGAGCGGCCGAUAUCAGAUUAGGUAGUUGGUGGGGUAAAGGCUCACCAAGCCGACGAUCGGUAGCUGGUCUGAGAGGACGACCAGCAACACCGGAGCUGAGACACGGCCCAGACUCCUACGGGAGGCAGCAGUGGGGAAUUUUGGACAAUGGGCGAAAGCCUGAUCCAGCCAUGCCGCGUGCAGGAUGAAGGCCUUCGGGUUGUAAACUGCUUUUGUACGGAACGAAAAGGUUUGGGCUAAUAAGCUGAGCUCAUGACGGUACCGUAAGAAUAAGCACCGGCUAACUACGUGCCAGCCGCCGCAGUAA
Molecule: ribosomal RNA, 500 nt
Filed under: uncultured bacterium
Lineage: Bacteria
Description: partial 16S ribosomal RNA
Rfam family: Bacterial small subunit ribosomal RNA
Source: RNAcentral